RNAcentral lists this ribosomal RNA (570 nucleotides) under Triticum aestivum (bread wheat). RNAcentral describes it as "partial small subunit ribosomal RNA". The record is from RNAcentral. Lineage: Eukaryota; Viridiplantae; Streptophyta; Magnoliopsida; Poales; Poaceae.
AUGAGAAGUUUUGGGAAAGAGUGUAUUACAACAUUUCUAAUUCGUGAAUUUCUAAUGAUCGCCGUGUCCUGCAUGCUGGAUCAUCUACUAUUCUAUGUUCUUUCCGAAAGCGUGCCAAUCCCUAUGAUCAUCAUUAUAGGGGUAUGGGGUUCGAGACAAAGAAAGAUCAAGGCAGCAUAUCAGUUUUUCCUAUAUACUUUACUGGGAUCCGUUUCUAUGCUAUUAGCUAUUCUGUUGAUUCUUCUCCAAACAGGAACCACCGAUUUACAAAUUUUAUUAACCACUGAAUUUAGUGAGCGGCGCCAAAUCCUUCUAUGGAUUGCUUUUUUCGCCUCUUUUGCCGUCAAAGUGCCUAUGGUACCAGUUCAUAUUUGGUUACCCGAAGCCCAUGUAGAGGCACCUACGGCUGGAUCCGUCAUCUUGGCUGGAAUUCUUUUAAAAUUGGGAACCUAUGGGUUUUUAAGAUUUUCCAUACCCAUGUUUCCCGAGGUGACACUUUGUUUCACUCCUUUCAUUUAUACUCUAAGCGCGAUUGCUAUAAUAUAUACUUCCUUGACCACUUUAAGAUAG